UAAACAUUGGUUCUCAUCUGAUCACCAAAGUUAAGCAACAUCAAGCCUAGUUAGUAACUAGAUGGGUAAUUGCAUGGGAAUACCAGGUGGCGUAAG
Non-coding RNA from Acanthosepion pharaonis, 96 nucleotides. Lineage: Eukaryota; Metazoa; Mollusca; Cephalopoda; Sepiida; Sepiidae. The record is from the annotation of a GenBank genome assembly.